Molecule: small nucleolar RNA, 86 nt
Organism: Argentina anserina (silverweed cinquefoil)
Lineage: Eukaryota; Viridiplantae; Streptophyta; Magnoliopsida; Rosales; Rosaceae
Product: small nucleolar RNA Z122
Exons: 1
Source: RefSeq, a predicted model, not a curated record
UUUGGGAAAUGAUGAUCAAAUUUGAUUGACAUAAGCUUAUGCUGUGCUGAAUUUUCUAUUGAUUUGCACGUCAGUCUGAUCCUGAA